CUUGUGUUCUCUGGUCCCUGAUACUCCUUCAGCUUGGAGUCCUAUGUCUCCUCAGAUUUCUUACCUGCUAGUGGAAAUGAACUCCCAGCCAUAGCUUCUCUCCCUCCUAUCUGUCUUCUGCAUUGCUAUCAGACAGGCCUUCCACACUGCAUCGAUGGCCCUUCCACCACUCUCCCCAAUCAGAACUCUGCAAAUGUAACAAGAUGAGGUCACAGAGCCCCCAGGAAGAAGAGGCUUUGUCCCUCAGAGCUGAGCAUUCUAGGAACUCUCUGGGCUAGAGAGCUUCAGGGCUCACAGGAGGCUUGGAGGAGAGAACAGCUCUGCUCAUCAUGUGCGAGGGGAUAAAGGCAACAGUGCAGAAACAUGUGCAGAACCUGCGACACAGUAAGGAGGAGCUAAACAGGCUGAACCAGGCCAUCCAGCGGCUGACAGUGGAAGUGGAUGGCACCAAGAGCCAGGUGAGGGGCGGGUGUGGGGGUGGCUGAGUGGUGAUGCUGGUGACGCAUCCUAGACUAGACUAGACCUUCCCCCCAUCCUUUGGAUAGAGUUUCUCUUUGUGAAGUUCUGAGCAAACAGGAGUGUGGAUAUGUGUGUAUAUACCAUGCUUCCAUUUGCUCAGGACUUUGAGUUUUUUUUUUAAUGUGGAUACGUAAUUAACACGUAGGUAAAAAUGUAUGCAUAUGGAUGCUUGUUUGUAUAUCAUUUUUUAUGUAUAUAUAUAUUUUUAAGUCUGUAUGUUUUGUGAUUGUCCUACAGUGUGAAAUUUGAGCCCAUCUUCAGAAAUGGCAAGAUCUUACCUAGAAAUUCAGUAUCAUGGAUUCCCUCUAUAAACAUGCAGAUCUGGCAAUAUUAAACUGGUCUCACAUGGUCUCACACAGUAACAUCUGGUGAGGGAAGAGAGGCCUCUACCUUCUCUUUCAUCUUCACAUGGGGCUCAUGUUCCUGCAGUGUGCCGCAGACUCCACCACUCCAAAUUGCAUCCUUUGACACUGAGGCAGAGGGAUCUUUGCCAUUUAUCCUCACCUUGGCUAGUACUCUUGUCAUUCUUGUCAAAGAGAUAGAGCUAGGCUCUGGAUCUAGCUCUCUAUCUAAGGUGAAGAAAUGAAAGACUGAAAACAGGAAAGACAUCCUUGUGAUUUCAGGAAAAUUAAGAGUGUGUACAUUUCUUUAUAGAGCUGGGUACUAUCCACAUAUACUUUACAUUUGGCCUUUAUUCCCUCUCCCCUCCCUCCCUGCCACCCCCGCUGUGCCCAGUCUUAGUUACAGAACUCCUAGUUCCCUGAUCAGGGAUGGAACCAGGCCCUGGGCAUUGGGAGUGCAGUCUUAACCAAUGAACCACCAGGAAAGUCCCUGGCCUAUACUUUUUGAUGUCUCCAGCCAGGCUCUGUAGGCAUUUGUGUUUCUCAGGCUUUAGGCUCCAGAAAGAGAAGGUUCCCACAUGAAUGCCCUCUUUCUCCCCACCUCUCUCCCUCUCACCCACUCCUCUUUUUUCUCAGCCGCCCUCUUGGUUAAGCUCCUGCCCUGGCCCAUGCUCCAUCCCGCAAAGGGAAGAGGUUCUGCUUCCAGUCAGUUCUUGUUUUCUGCAGAGACAAGUGUCUCAGGCUCUGCAGGAUAUUCGUGGGGGUUCUCCCUUCUCCAGGAACCCCUGGCUUUGAGGAGGGACAAGCUGUUCAGGUUCCAGGGGUGACAGAGUGGUGGCUGGGUGGGCCCAGUCUCCCAGCAGACUCAGCUGCUCUGAUUCCCUGACUGGUUCCCUAAGCAGCAGGUAUGCCUUCUCAAGGCAGCCCUUUAUUAUCAAUAUUUUUUUCCCUAGAGACUACAAAUUCCAGUCUCUUAUGAGGAAAGGAUACUCUUCCUGUUCAUUCCCUGAUGAAACAAUAACCCCAGAAUGACAUGCUAAAAUGUAUUUUAUGCUUCCCAGACCCUAGCUCAUUUUGGAAGUGUCACUAUACUAGAUGUGGGCUUCCCAGGUAGGCUAGGGGUAAAGAACCAGUCUGCCAAGGUGGGAGCUGCAGAAGACACGGGUUCAACCUCUGGGUGGGAAGAUCCCCUG
Molecule: non-coding RNA, 2053 nt
Organism: Odocoileus virginianus texanus
Lineage: Eukaryota; Metazoa; Chordata; Mammalia; Artiodactyla; Cervidae
Source: RefSeq, a predicted model, not a curated record